AGCGGAGGAAAAGAAACCAACAGGGAUUGCCCCAGUAACGGCGAGUGAAGCGGCAACAGCUCAAAUUUGAAAUCUGGCCCCCGGGUCCGAGUUGUAAUUUGUAGAGGAUGCUUUUGGCGAGGUGCCUUCCGAGUUCCCUGGAACGGGACGCCAUAGAGGGUGAGAGCCCCGUCUGGUCGGACACCGAGCCUCUGUAAAGCUCCUUCGACGAGUCGAGUAGUUUGGGAAUGCUGCUCAAAAUGGGAGGUAUAUGUCUUCUAAAGCUAAAUAUUGGCCAGAGACCGAUAGCGCACAAGUAGAGUGAUCGAAAGAUGAAAAGCACUUUGAAAAGAGGGUUAAAAAGUACGUGAAAUUGUUGAAAGGGAAGCGCCUAUGACCAGACUUGGGCCCGGUGAAUCAUCCAGCGUUCUCGCUGGUGCACUUUGCCGGGCACAGGCCAGCAUCAGUUUGGCGCGGGGGAGAAAGGCUCUGGGAAUGUGGCUCCUCCGGGAGUGUUAUAGCCCACUGCGUAAUACCCUGCGCCGGACUGAGGUACGCGCAUUGCAAGGAUGCUGGCGUAAUGGUCAUCAGCGACCCGUCUUGAAACACGGACCAAGGAGUCGUCUUCGUAUGCGAGUGUUCGGGUGUCAAACCCCUACGCGUAAUGAAAGUGAACGCAGGUGAGAGCUUCGGCGCAUCAUCGACCGAUCCUGAUGUUCUCGGAUGGAUUUGAGUAAGAGCAUACGGGGCCGGACCCGAAAGAAGGUGAACUAUGCCUGUAUAGGGUGAAGCCAGAGGAAACUCUGGUGGAGGCUCGCAGCGGUUCUGACGUGCGAAUCGAUCGUCAAAUAUGGGCAUGGGGGCGAAAGACUAAUCGAACCUUCUAGUAGCUGGUUCGC
This 878-nucleotide ribosomal RNA is filed under the name Akanthomyces dipterigenus. RNAcentral describes it as "partial large subunit ribosomal RNA". It matches the Rfam family "Eukaryotic large subunit ribosomal RNA", at positions 49 to 959 of the family's 3401-position model. The record is from RNAcentral. Lineage: Eukaryota; Fungi; Ascomycota; Sordariomycetes; Hypocreales; Cordycipitaceae.